This 253-nucleotide ribosomal RNA is filed under the name uncultured bacterium. RNAcentral describes it as "partial 16S ribosomal RNA". It matches the Rfam family "Bacterial small subunit ribosomal RNA", at positions 524 to 776 of the family's 1533-position model. The record is from RNAcentral.
GACAGAGGUUGCAAGCGUUGUUCGGAAUCAUUGGGCGUAAAGCGCACGUAGGCGGUCAUGUAAGUCAGAUGUGAAAUCCCAGGGCUUAACCCUGGAAGUGCAUCUGAUACUGCAUGACUUGAGUCCCGGAGAGGGUGGUGGAAUUCCCGGUGUAGAGGUGAAAUUCGUAGAUAUCAGGAGGAACACCGGUGGCGAAGGCGACCACCUGGACGGAGACUGACGCUGAGGUGCGAAAGCGUGGGGAGCAAACAGG